AUGCCGAUGUGCAGAACAUGGGACGCGGCGGAGACUCUGUGUUACAAGCACAGUUACUGUUGCCGUCUCUUCCAGACAGAAAUUGUAGUUGAAGUUCAGUUAACUGAAGAUGAGACGCAGUCCAGGUCCAACCAAGACUUUGCCGCGACCAACUCCAGCCUGGUUCGAGCCAGGCAGGCGAACCAUUCGUGUGGCCCGUCUUUCCAGGACCACACGAGGCAUUCUUCUACGAUAGAUGAGGCGUUCUUCUCCGGAAGCUUUUCAGGGGCUCGUAUGCAACAUGGCCAGAUUUUUUCUUCAGUUUUAUAUACAGAGGUGGGCUGGGUGGAGGUAGAUUGCGCUGAUUUUUGA
This 351-nucleotide ribosomal RNA is filed under the name Triticum aestivum (bread wheat). RNAcentral's name for it is "partial small subunit ribosomal RNA". Lineage: Eukaryota; Viridiplantae; Streptophyta; Magnoliopsida; Poales; Poaceae. The record is from RNAcentral.